AUACGUAGGUGACAAGCGUUAUCCGGAUUUACUGGGCGUAAAGGGCGUGUAGGCGGUCUUGCAAGUCAGAAGUGAAAUUCCUGAGCUCAACUCGGGCGCUGCUUCUGAAACUGCAGGACUUGAGUGCUGGAGGGGAUAGCGGAAUUCCUAGUGGAGCGGUAAAAUGCGCAGAUAUUAGGAAGAACACCGGUGGCGAAGGCGGCUAUCUGGACAUUAACUGAUGCUGAGGCGCGAAAGCGUGGGGAGCAAACAGGAUUAGAUCCCCUUGUAGUCCACGCCGUAAACGAUGAAUACUAGGUGUAGGGGGUAUCGACUCCCUCUGUGCCGCAGUUAACACAAUAAGUAUUCCGCCUGGGGAGUACGGCCGCAAGGUUGAAACUCAAAGGAAUUGACGGGG
Molecule: ribosomal RNA, 397 nt
Filed under: uncultured bacterium
Lineage: Bacteria
Description: partial 16S ribosomal RNA
Rfam family: Bacterial small subunit ribosomal RNA
Source: RNAcentral